GAAUGCUGACAUAAGUAACGAUAAAGCGGGUGAAAAGCCCGCUCGCCGGAAGACCAAGGGUUCCUGUCCAACGUUAAUCGGGGCAGGGUGAGUCGACCCCUAAGGCGAGGCCGAAAGGCGUAGUCGAUGGGAAACGGGUUAAUAUUCCCGUACUUGGUGUUACUGCGAAGGGGGGACGGAGAAGGCUAUGUUGGCCGGGCGACGGUUGUCCCGGUUUAAGCGUGUAGGUGUGUGUUCCAGGUAAAUCCGGUUCACUUUAACACUGAGGCGUGAUGACGAGGCACUACGGUGCUGAAGCAACAAAU
RNAcentral lists this ribosomal RNA (305 nucleotides) under Salmonella enterica subsp. enterica serovar Infantis. RNAcentral describes it as "partial 23S ribosomal RNA". It matches the Rfam family "Bacterial large subunit ribosomal RNA", at positions 1292 to 1598 of the family's 2925-position model. The record is from RNAcentral. RNAcentral also lists the same sequence under 1 other name. Lineage: Bacteria; Pseudomonadati; Pseudomonadota; Gammaproteobacteria; Enterobacterales; Enterobacteriaceae.